AGUUUUGAGCUAAAUAUAUUUAUAAUAUUAGUUAUUUAUGAAGGUGUUGUAAAACCUUUAUUUAAAAUUAUAUUUAGGGGUGAUAGGCCUUUCAAAAACUAAGAUAUCUUGAAUCUAAUUAAAAGUAUGUAGUACAAUUAACACAAUUAUUAAGUGAUUAGGCUUUAUAAAAUUAUUAACUUAUAAGAUUUUAUUUACUAUAAUUUAAUAAUUAAGUACAUAAAUAUAUCAAUAUUCAAAUAUUAUAGUUUAUAAAAGAGUAAUUAGAUAGAUUUAAGUUCAUAUUUCUUAUAAUAAUGUUAAUAUUAGUAUUAAGUUUAUAUUUAUAUGAUGAACUCGGCAAAAAUACUUCUCAACUGUUUAUCAAAAACAUAACUAUGUGAAUGAAUACAUAGCGGUUUCUGCUCAA
RNAcentral lists this ribosomal RNA (409 nucleotides) under Mandarina polita. Its description in RNAcentral is "partial 16S ribosomal RNA". Lineage: Eukaryota; Metazoa; Mollusca; Gastropoda; Stylommatophora; Camaenidae. The record is from RNAcentral.